UGCAAGUCGAACGGUAGCACAGAGAGCUUGCUCUCGGGUGACGAGUGGCGGACGGGUGAGUAAUGUCUGGGAGACUGCCUGAUGGAGGGGGAUAACUACUGGAAACGGUAGCUAAUACCGCAUAAUGUCGCAAGACCAAAGAGGGGGACCUUCGGGCCUCUUGCCAUCAAAUGUGCCCAGAUGGGAUUAGCUAGUAGGUGGGGUAACGGCUCACCUAAGCGACCAUCCCUAGCUGGUCUGAAAGGAUGACCAGCCACACUGGAACUGAGACACGGUCCACACUCCUACGGGAGGCAGCAGUGGGGAAUAUUGCACAAUGGGCGCAAGCCUGAUGCAUCCAUGCCGCGUGUAUGAAGAAGGCCUUCUGGUUGUAAAGUACUUUCAGCGGGGAGGAAGGUGUUGUGGUUAAUAACCGCAGCAAUUGACGUUACCCGCAAAACAAGCACCGGCUAACUCCGUGCCAGCAGCCGCGGUAAUACGGAGGGUGCAAGCGUUAAUCGGAAUUACUGGGCGUAAAGCGCACGCAGGCGGUCUGUCAAGUCGGAUGUGAAAUCCCCGGGCUCAACCUGGGAACUGCAUUCGAAACUGGCAGGCUGGAGUCUUGUAGAGGGGGGUAGAAUUCCAGGUGUAGCGGUGAAAUGCGUAUAGAUCUGGAGGAAUACCGGUGGCGAAGGCGGCCCCCUGGACAAAGACUGACGCUCAGGUGCGAAAGCGUGGGGAGCAAACAGGAUUAGAUACGCUGGUAGUCCACGCCGUAAACGAUGUCUAUUUGGAGGUUGUGCCCUUGA
Molecule: ribosomal RNA, 788 nt
Filed under: Enterobacter cloacae
Lineage: Bacteria; Pseudomonadati; Pseudomonadota; Gammaproteobacteria; Enterobacterales; Enterobacteriaceae
Description: bacterial SSU rRNA
Rfam family: Bacterial small subunit ribosomal RNA
Source: RNAcentral